RNAcentral lists this ribosomal RNA (270 nucleotides) under uncultured prokaryote. RNAcentral describes it as "partial 16S ribosomal RNA". It matches the Rfam family "Archaeal small subunit ribosomal RNA", at positions 474 to 743 of the family's 1478-position model. The record is from RNAcentral.
UACUAGCGGUCCAAGUGGCAGCCGCGUUUAUUGGGUCUAAAACAUCCGUAGCUUGCUCGGUAAGUCUCUUGUGAAAUCUGAUGCCUUAAGUGUCAGGCGUGCAAGAGAUACUGCCAAGCUAGAGACCGGGAGGCGUAAGGAGUACGGUUAGGGUAGCGGUAAAAUGCGUUGAUCCUUUCUGGACUAACGAUAGCGAAGGCACCUUACGAGAACGGAUCUGACAGUGAGGGAUGAAGGCUAGGGGCGCAAAACGGAUUAGAUACCCCCGUA